AUGGGGUGCAGCAGGCGAGAAAACUUUGCAAUGUGCGAAAGCACGACAAGGUUAAUCCGAGUGAUUUCUGCUAAAGAAAUCUUUUGCAAGUCAUAAAACCACUAGUGAAUAAGGGGUGGGCAAGUUCUGGUGUCAGCCGCCGCGGUAAAACCAGCACCUCAAGUGGUCAGGAGGAUUAUUGGGCCUAAAGCAUCCGUAGCCGGCUCUGUAAGUUUUCGGUUAAAUCCAUGUGCUCAACGCAUGGGCUGCCGAAAAUACUGCAUAGCUAGGGAGUGGGAGAGGUAGACGGUACUCGGUAGGAAGGGGUAAAAUCCUUUGAUCUAUCGAUGACCACCUGUGGCGAAGGCGGUCUACCAGAACACGUUCGACGGUGAGGGAUGAAAGCUGGGGGAGCAAACCGGAUUAGAUACCCGGGUAGUCCCAGCUGUAAACGAUGCAGACUCGAUGAUGCAUUGGCAUAUAGCCAGUGCAGUGUCGCAGGGAAGCCGUUAAGUCUGCCGCCUGGGAAGUACGUACGCAAGUAUGAAACUUAAAGGAAUUGGCGGGGGAGCAC
RNAcentral lists this ribosomal RNA (553 nucleotides) under uncultured crenarchaeote. RNAcentral describes it as "bacterial SSU rRNA". It matches the Rfam family "Archaeal small subunit ribosomal RNA", at positions 325 to 879 of the family's 1478-position model. Lineage: Archaea; Thermoproteati; Thermoproteota. The record is from RNAcentral.